UACGAAGGGUGCUAGCGUUGUUCGGAAUCACUGGGCGUAAAGCGCGCGUAGGCGGCCUAUCAAGUCAGGGGUGAAAUGCCACGGCUCAACCGUGGAACUGCCUUUGAAACUGAUGGGCUGGAAGAUGAGAGGGGAUAGCGGAAUUUCUGGUGUAGAGGUGAAAUUCGUAGAUACCAGAAGGAACACCGGUGGCGAAGGCGGCUAUCUGGCUCAUUCUUGACGCUCUGGCGCGAAAGCGUGGGGAUCAAACAGG
RNAcentral lists this ribosomal RNA (253 nucleotides) under uncultured bacterium. RNAcentral's name for it is "partial 16S ribosomal RNA". It matches the Rfam family "Bacterial small subunit ribosomal RNA", at positions 524 to 776 of the family's 1533-position model. The record is from RNAcentral.